Molecule: long non-coding RNA, 289 nt
Organism: Oxyura jamaicensis (ruddy duck)
Lineage: Eukaryota; Metazoa; Chordata; Aves; Anseriformes; Anatidae
Exons: 3
Source: RefSeq, a predicted model, not a curated record
GGAGGGAGCUCUCCUUUGAUCUUCCAGAGGCCCCGGCCAGUGCGGUAGCAUCUGCAGCCCUUUAAGCAGACACGUCUGGUUAGGAUCAUCCACUGCUUCCGCCGAAACAGGGUUUAGAGUAGGAGACCUCCCUUCAAAGAGGUGGCUUUGCUGAGCAGUAAAAUUGAUGAAUUACCGGAAGGGAUAAGGAAAACAAAGCCUUCUGCUGAUCCCACGGGGUAGGGCCUGCUGUGGCAGAGAUGCUCGGCAAAUAAUGGACGGAUUUACCUCCCGUCACCCUCUCUGUGCC